AACGAACGCUGGCGGCAUGCCUAACACAUGCAAGUCGAACGAGAACCGCGGGUCUAGUGCUGCACGCGUGCGUAACGCGGGGGAACCUGCUAACAGGUUCGGAACAACUCCCCGAGAGGGGUGCAAAAACCGGAAAAGAUCUCUGGUCCAAAGAUUGAUCGCCUUUGGAUGGGGCCGCGUUAGAUUAGCUAGUUGGUAGGGUAAAAGCCUACCAAGGCGACGGGACAUAGCUGGUCUGGGAGGAUGAUCAGGCACACUGGGACUGAGACCAGGCCCAGAACCCCAGGGGAGGCAGCAGGGCGGAAUAUUGGACGCUGGGCGAAAGACGACGCCAGCCGUGCUGCGUGGGUGAUUAAGGCGUUAGGAUUGGAAAGCUCGUUUACCCGGGAUGAGAAUGACGGUACCGGGAGAAUAAGCCCCGGCUAACUCCGUG
Molecule: ribosomal RNA, 433 nt
Filed under: uncultured bacterium
Lineage: Bacteria
Description: partial 16S ribosomal RNA
Rfam family: Bacterial small subunit ribosomal RNA
Source: RNAcentral